RNAcentral lists this ribosomal RNA (1488 nucleotides) under uncultured Bordetella sp. Its description in RNAcentral is "partial 16S-23S ribosomal RNA intergenic spacer". It matches the Rfam family "Bacterial small subunit ribosomal RNA". The record is from RNAcentral. Lineage: Bacteria; Pseudomonadati; Pseudomonadota; Betaproteobacteria; Burkholderiales; Alcaligenaceae.
GGAGUUCGAUUAUGGCUCAGAUUGAACGCUGGCGGGAUGCUUUACCACAUGCAAGUCGAACGGCAGCACGGACUUCGGUCUGGUGGCGAGUGGCGAACAGGUGAGUAAUGUAUUGGAACGUGCCUAGUAGCGGGGGAUAACUACGCGAAAGCGUAGCUAAUGCCGCAUACGCCCUUCGAGGAAAGCAGGGGGACCUUCCGGGCCUCGCACUAUUAGAGCGGCCGAUAUCGGAUUGGCUAGUUGGUGGGGUAACGGCUCACCAAGGCGACGAUCCGUAGCUGGUUUUGAAGGGACAGCCAGCCACACUGGGACUGAGACACGGCCCCAGCGAACUCUACCGGGAGGCAGCAGUGGGGAAUUUUGGACAAUGGGGAAACCCUGAUCCAGCCAUCCCGCGUGUGCGAUGAAGGCCUUCGGGUUGUAAAGCACUUUUUGGCAGGAAAGAAACGGCACGGGAUAAUACCCCGUGCAACUGACGGUACCUGCAGAAUAAGCACCAGCUAACUACGUGCCAGCAGCCGCGGUAAUACACGUGGUGCAAGCGUUAAUCAGAUUACUGGAAGGCGUAAAGCGUGCGCGAGCGGUUCCGGAAAAGAAAGAUGUGAAAUCCCAGAGCUUAACUUUGGAACUGCAUUUUUAACUACCGAGCUAGAGUGUGUCAGAGGGAGGUGGAAUUCCACAUGUGUAGCAGUGAAAUGCGUAGAUAUGCGGAGGAACACCAGUGCUUGAAGGCAGCCUCCUGGGAUAACACUGACGCUCAUGCACUGGCAUGGGAGCAAACGGGAUUAGAUACCCUGGUAGUCCACGCCUAAACGAUGUCGCUAGCUGUUGGGGCCUUCGGGCAGCGGUAGCGCAGCUAACGUGAAGUUGACCGCCUGGGGAGAUACGGUCGCAAGAUUAAAACUCAAGGAAUUGACGGGGACCCGCACAAGCGGUGGAUGAUGUGGAUUAAUUCGAUGCAACGCGAAAAACCUUACCUACCCUUGACAUGUCUGGAAUCGAAGAGAUUUGGGAGUGCUCGCAAGAAGAGAACCGGAACACAGGUGCUGCAUGGCUGUCGUCAGCUCGUGUCGUGAGAUGUUGGGUUGAUCCCGCAACGAGCGCAGCCCUUGUCGGUAGUUGCUACGAAGGCACUCUGGCGGGACUGCCGGUGACAAACCGGAGGAAGGUGGGGAUGACGUCAGGUCCUCAUGGCCCAUAUGGGUAGGGCUUCACACGUCAUACAAUGGUCAGGACAGAGGUCGCCAGCGCGAGGAGUCAAUCCAGGAAACCCGAUCGUAGUCCGGAUCAUGAUCGUCGACUGCGUGAAGUCCGGAAUCGCUAGUAAUCGCGGAUCAGCAUGUCGCGGUGAAUACGUUCCCGGGUCUUGUACACACCGCCCGUCACACCAUGGGGAGUGGGUUUUGCACCAGAAGUAGUUAGCCUAACCGUAAGGAGGGCGAUUACCACAGUAGGAUUCGUGACUGGGGUGAAGUCGUAACAAGGUAA